AUUGAACGCUGGCGGUAUGCUUAACAUAUGCAAGUCGAACGGCAGCACGGUAUGUAGCAAUACAUAUGGGUGGCAAGUGGCGGACGGGUGAGUAACGCGUAGGAAUCUGCCCUCAAGCGGGGGACAACCCGAGGAAACUCGGGCUAAUACCGCAUAAAUUCGGAAGAGAAAAGCUGGGGUAACCUGGCACUUGAGGAGGAGCCUGCGUCUGAUUAGCUAGUUGGUAGGGUAAGGGCCUACCAAGGCGAUGAUCAGUAGCUGGUCUGAGAGGAUGACCAGCCACACUGGAACUGGGUCACGGUCCAGACUCCUACGGGAGGCAGCAGUGGGGAAUAUUGGACAAUGGGGGAAACCCUGAUCCAGCAAUACCGCGUGUGUGAAGAAGGCCUUCGGGUUGUAAAGCACUUUAGUUGGGGAGGAAGGUUAGCAGUUUAAGAGAUGGCUAAUUUGACUGUACCCAAAGAAUAAGCACCGGCUAACUCUGUGCCAGCCGCCGCGGUAA
RNAcentral lists this ribosomal RNA (502 nucleotides) under uncultured bacterium. Its description in RNAcentral is "partial 16S ribosomal RNA". It matches the Rfam family "Bacterial small subunit ribosomal RNA", at positions 30 to 523 of the family's 1533-position model. The record is from RNAcentral.